AGGGUUUGAUUAUGGCUCAGAAUCAACGCUGGCGGCGUGCCUAACACAUGCAAGUCGAACGAGAAAGUGGAGCAAUCCAUGAGUAAAGUGGCGACCGGGUGAGUAACACGUGACCAAUCUACCCUCGAGUGGGGGAUAACUCCGGGAAACCGGAGCUAAUACCGCAUAACAUCUUUGGAACUCAGGUUCCGAUGAUCAAAGGAGCAAUCCGCUUGAGGAGGAGGUCGCGGCUGAUUAGCUAGUUGGCGGGGUAAUGGCCCACCAAGGCGAAGAUCGGUAGCCGGCCUGAGAGGGCGCACGGCCACACUGGAACUGAAACACGGUCCAGACUCCUACGGGAGGCAGCAGUGGGGAAUUUUGCGCAAUGGGGGAAACCCUGACGCAGCAACGCCGCGUGGAGGAUGAAGUCCCUUGGGACGUAAACUCCUUUCGACCGGGAAGAUAAUGACGGUACCGGUGGAAGAAGCACCGGCUAACUCUGUGCCAGCAGCCGCGGUAAUACAGAGGGUGCGAGCGUUGUUCGGAAUUAUUGGGCGUAAAGGGCGCGUAGGCGGUGCGGUAAGUCACCUGUG
RNAcentral lists this ribosomal RNA (572 nucleotides) under uncultured bacterium. Its description in RNAcentral is "bacterial SSU rRNA". It matches the Rfam family "Bacterial small subunit ribosomal RNA", at positions 8 to 596 of the family's 1533-position model. The record is from RNAcentral.